RNAcentral lists this transfer RNA (96 nucleotides) under Candidatus Bathyarchaeota archaeon. RNAcentral's name for it is "tRNA-Lys". It matches the Rfam family "tRNA". Rfam says of the family: Transfer RNA (tRNA) molecules are approximately 80 nucleotides in length. The record is from RNAcentral. Lineage: Archaea; Thermoproteati; Candidatus Bathyarchaeota.
GGGCCCGUAGCUCAAAUCCAAAUAUGUGGAGAGCAGCCUGGUUAGAGCGCUGGGCUUUUAACCCAUAGGUUGGGGGUUCAAAUCCCUCCGGGCCCG